GGAAUAUUGCGCAAUGGGCGAAAGCCUGACGCAGCAACGCCGCGUGGGCGAUGAAGGCUUCGGGUUGUAAAGCCCUUUUCUGGGGGAAGAGGAAUGACGGUACCCCAGGAAUAAGUCUCGGCUAACUACGUGCCAGCAGCCGCGGUAAAACGUAGGAGGCAAGCGUUAUCCGGAUUUAUUGGGCGUAAAGCGCGYGUAGGCGGUUCCGUAAGUUGGAUGUGAAAUCUCCCGGCUCAACCGGGAGGGGUCGUCCRAGACUGUGGGACUUGAGGUCGGGAGAGGGARGUGGAAUUCCCGGUGUAGUGGUGGAAUGYGUAGAUAUCGGGAGGAACACCAGUGGCGAAGGCGGCUUCCUGGACYGUUCCUGACGCURAGGCGCGAAAGCGUGGGGAGCGAACGGGAUUAGAUACCCYGGUAGUCCACGCUGUAAACGAUGGGUACUAGGUGUUGGUGGUAUUGACCCCAUCAGUGCCGAAGUAACGCGAUAAGURCCCCG
RNAcentral lists this ribosomal RNA (496 nucleotides) under uncultured Chloroflexota bacterium. RNAcentral's name for it is "bacterial SSU rRNA". It matches the Rfam family "Bacterial small subunit ribosomal RNA", at positions 358 to 871 of the family's 1533-position model. Lineage: Bacteria; Bacillati; Chloroflexota. The record is from RNAcentral.